RNAcentral lists this long non-coding RNA (329 nucleotides) under Mytilus galloprovincialis (Mediterranean mussel). Lineage: Eukaryota; Metazoa; Mollusca; Bivalvia; Mytilida; Mytilidae. The record is from RNAcentral.
AAUAGAUAUAGGAAGAUGUGGUGUGAGUGCCAAUGAGACAACUCUCCAUACAAAUAACAAUUUAAAAAGUAAACCAUUAUAGGUUAAAGUACGGCCUUCAACACGGAGCCUUAGCUCACACCGAACAACAAGCUAUAAAGGGCCCCAAAAUUACUAGUGUAAAACCAUUCAAACGGGAAAACCAACGGUCUAAUCUAUAUUAACAAAACGAGAAACGAGAAACACGUAUAUAUUACAUAAACAAACGACAACUACUGUACAUCAGAUUCCUGACUUAGGACAGGUGCAAACAUUUGCAGCGGGAUUAAACGUUUUAAUGGAUCCAAACC